Molecule: non-coding RNA, 205 nt
Organism: Pelobates cultripes (western spadefoot toad)
Lineage: Eukaryota; Metazoa; Chordata; Amphibia; Anura; Pelobatidae
Source: the annotation of a GenBank genome assembly
CUAGGGAUACAGAGACAUUGGGACACAGACAAUGGGAGACAUGGGGACACUGAAACAUUUGGGGACACUAAGACACUAGGGACACUAAGAGACAUGGGAACACAGACACUGGGAGACUAGGGGACACUGAGACACUAGGAACACUGGCUGGAAGACAGGCACUUGGGGACACUUGUGGACAUAGACAUGGGGACACUGGGAGACA